RNAcentral lists this ribosomal RNA (373 nucleotides) under uncultured organism. RNAcentral's name for it is "partial 16S ribosomal RNA". It matches the Rfam family "Bacterial small subunit ribosomal RNA", at positions 527 to 896 of the family's 1533-position model. The record is from RNAcentral.
GUAGGUGGCAAGCGUUGUCCGGAAUUAUUGGGCGUAAAGCGCGCGCAGGCGGUUCUUUAAGUCUGAUGUGAAAGCCCACGGCUCAACCGUGGAGGGUCAUUGGAAACUGGAGAACUUGAGUACAGAAGAGGAAAGCGGAAUUCCACGUGUAGCGGUGAAAUGCGUAGAGAUGUGGAGGAACACCAGUGGCGAAGGCGGCUUUCUGGUCUGUAACUGACGCUGAGGCGCGAAAGCGUGGGGAGCAAACAGGAUUAGAUACCCUGGUAGUCCACGCCGUAAACGAUGAGUGCUAAGUGUUAGGGGGUUUUCCGCCCCCCUUAGUGCUGCAGCUAACGCAUUAGGCACUCCGCCUGGGAGUACGGCCGCAAGGCUG